AACGAACGCUGGCGGCAUGCCUAACACAUGCAAGUCGAACGAGACCUUCGGGUCUAGUGGCUCACGGGUGCGUAACGUGUGGGAACCUGCCCUUAGGUUCGGAAUAACUCCCCGAAUGGGGUGCUAAUAUCGGAUAAUGUCUUCGGACCAAAGAUUUAACGCCUUUGGAUUGGCCCGCGUUCGACUAGCUAGUUGGUAGUGUAAAAGCCUACCAAGGCGAGGAUACAUAGCUGGUCUGAGAGGAUGGUCAGCGACACUGGGACUGAGGCACGGCCCAGUCUCCUACGGGACGCGGGAGUGGCGAAUAUCGGACUCCCAGAGAGCUCGUGAUACAGCCGUGACGCGUGGGACAUGGAGGACUUAGCGUUGCAAUGCUCUUUUAUCCGAGCUGAUAUUAACAGUACCGGGAGAAUAAGCUCCGGCUAACUACGUG
This 433-nucleotide ribosomal RNA is filed under the name uncultured bacterium. RNAcentral's name for it is "partial 16S ribosomal RNA". It matches the Rfam family "Bacterial small subunit ribosomal RNA", at positions 29 to 507 of the family's 1533-position model. The record is from RNAcentral.